Molecule: ribosomal RNA, 195 nt
Filed under: uncultured bacterium
Lineage: Bacteria
Description: partial 16S ribosomal RNA
Rfam family: Bacterial small subunit ribosomal RNA
Source: RNAcentral
CCUACGGGAGGCAGCAGUAGGGAAUCUUCCGCGAUGGACGAAAGUCUGACGGAGCGACGCCGCGUGAGCGAAGAAGGCCUUCGGGUCGUAAAGCUCUGUUGUGAGGGACGAAGGAGCGUCGUUUGAACAAGGCGGCGCGGUGACGGUACCUCACGAGAAAGCCCCGGCUAACUACGUGCCAGCAGCCGCGGUAAU